UACGUAGGUGGCGAGCGUUGUCCGGAUUUACUGGGCGUAAAGAGCGCGCAGGCGGUCGUUCAAGUCGCGUGUGAAAGCCCCCGGCUCAACUGGGGAGGGUCACGCGAUACUGAUCGACUCGAAGGCAGGAGAGGGAAGUGGAAUUCCCGGUGUAGUGGUGAAAUGCGUAGAUAUCGGGAGGAACACCAGUGACGAAGGCGACUUCCUGGCCUGUUCUUGACGCUGAGGCGCGAAAGCUAGGGGAGCAAACGGG
RNAcentral lists this ribosomal RNA (253 nucleotides) under uncultured bacterium. Its description in RNAcentral is "partial 16S ribosomal RNA". It matches the Rfam family "Bacterial small subunit ribosomal RNA", at positions 524 to 776 of the family's 1533-position model. The record is from RNAcentral.